GAUUUUUCCUCUUUCUCUCUCUCUCUCUCUGUCUGAACUCUGAAAUAUUGUUUUCUAAAAUUAUGGAAGAUGUGAUCGGGAGAGUAGCGGGAUCUUUACUGACGUCUUUAUUAAGGGAGGAAUUUCAGCUUCCUAACUAUCCGUCGAUGGUAAAAGACUGUAGGAAAGACAUUGAGAAGGCUGGGAAUGAUAUUCCAGAUAAGAUUAAGAACGAGAACAUGUUGAGAUUGUGCUGGACUCUAGUUUAUGGACCAAAUAUUCAAGAUAUUAAGAAAGGGCUAUUGAACCUUGAGGGUGAAAUAAUAAAAUUUAUGUAUAAGCAAUUCCCUUUUUUUUUGUCAAUCCGACAUUUAAAUAACUAUACUUUAUAUGCUAGAAAACUGAACAAUUGUUUUUGUAGAGGCUUUGAUUGGUGAAAUUUGCUCGAGGCUUUGAUUGGUGAAAUUUGCUCGAGGCUAAAGAGGGAUAAAGUUUAUCUUAUCUCAGUUGGAUAUUACGGACUCAAAUCAUAUGACGGAAGCUUGACGAAUCUGAAAUUAUGUUUAGAGAUUGCACCGGAUUUUAGGCAAGCUUUGACCCUGCAGAAAGUAAUACUAAAUCGAAGCUCAUCUUUCCGGUUCCUCAAUGGGACAGAUCAGAUCCCAUGCUAUCGUGAUAUGAUACUUGAUUGUGAAAAAGAUAUCGCAGAUGCACAUAUGAUGAGGUGACGGAUGAAAGCAUAAUGAAGUUGUGCUGGGCACUUGUUCACUCAAGACAACCAGAGGAUGUCCAGCGGGGACUAGAUAUGCUGGAAGGUUAUGUUGGUGUUAGGUAUUUGCAAGCCCAAAGGUCCGAGAUGUUCUAUCUUCUUGCAGUUGGAUAUUAUAGAAUUGGAGAAUUGAUGUUUAGUUGGCAGUGCUUGGACCAGUGCUUGGACUCAAGUUAUUACAAUUUUGAUUGGUGGAAAUAUAGUCUUUCCUCUGGAAAUUUAGGUCUAACUUGGUCUUAACUGAUCUUUGUCAAAAUGAAUUUGAUUUUUAGAUUUCUCCAAACUUUGAGCAAGCUUCAAGCCUGUUGGUGAAAGUUGAAGGUCAGAACCGAAAUUUUGGGCUUGGGCGCUUCAUCACUAGUAUUGGCUUUAAUCUUUUGGCCGGUGGUCCCAACUCUUACAGCUUUACGUAGGAGAUGAUAUAUAUGUGUAGGUGUUUUGAUAUGAGUAUGUGUUUUUAGUGCCAUCAAUGUAAAUGAAGUUCGUAAAGAGGUACUACAUAUUUUGCAAUAUUGUCUGGUAGUUAGUAGAUUGUUACAUUGACAUGUUUAUUUUGCUACGGAAAUAUUAUGUAUGUUUGGAGUUGAUACUUGAUAGUGGAGUUGGUGACCAACUGUUGGUCCAAGAUUACUUAAAAA
Molecule: long non-coding RNA, 1386 nt
Organism: Papaver somniferum (opium poppy)
Lineage: Eukaryota; Viridiplantae; Streptophyta; Magnoliopsida; Ranunculales; Papaveraceae
Exons: 6
Source: RefSeq, a predicted model, not a curated record